CUACGGAGGGUGCAAGCGUUAACCGGAAUCAUUGGGUUUAAAGGGUCCGUAGGCGGGCUAAUAAGUCAGGGGUGAAAUCCCACAGCUUAACUGUGGAACUGCCCUUGAUACUGUUGGUCUUGAGUUACAGUGAAGUGGUUAGAAUGUGUAGUGUAGCGGUGAAAUGCAUAGAGAUUACACAGAAUACCGAUUGCGAAGGCAGAUCACUAACUGUAUACUGACGCUAAUGGACGGAAGCGUGGGGAGCGAACAGGAUUAGAAACCCUAGUAGUCC
Molecule: ribosomal RNA, 274 nt
Filed under: uncultured bacterium
Lineage: Bacteria
Description: partial 16S ribosomal RNA
Rfam family: Bacterial small subunit ribosomal RNA
Source: RNAcentral